Pasteurella multocida subsp. multocida str. Anand1_buffalo is the source of this 78-nucleotide non-coding RNA. The record is from Rfam. NCBI's taxonomy places the organism in Bacteria, Pseudomonadati, Pseudomonadota, Gammaproteobacteria, Pasteurellales, Pasteurellaceae.
AAAAUAAGUGCUAUAAAAAAUAGCCGACAUAUUUUGCUUUCCGAGUAGUGCCUUGUUUCAAGGCACUUUUUUUGUUCA